RNAcentral lists this ribosomal RNA (424 nucleotides) under uncultured prokaryote. RNAcentral describes it as "bacterial SSU rRNA". It matches the Rfam family "Bacterial small subunit ribosomal RNA", at positions 355 to 796 of the family's 1533-position model. The record is from RNAcentral.
UGGGGAAUAUUGCGCAAUGGAGGAAACUCUGACGCAGCAACGCCGCGUGAGUGAUGAAGGUCUUAGGAUUGUAAAGCUCUGUCUUUUGGGACGAUAAUGACGGUACCAAAGGAGGAAGCCACGGCUAACUACGUGCCAGCAGCCGCGGUAAUACGUAGGUGGCAAGCGUUGUCCGGAUUUACUGGGCGUAAAGGGUGCGUAGGCGGAUAUUUAAGUGAGAUGUGAAAUCCCCGGGCUUAACUUGGGGGCUGCAUUUCAAACUGGAUAUCUAGAGUACAGGAGAGGAAAGUGGAAUUCCUAGUGUAGCGGUGAAAUGCGUAGAGAUUAGGAAGAACACCAGUGGCGAAGGCGACUUUCUGGACUGUAACUGACGCUGAGGCACGAAAGCGUGGGGAGCGAACAGGAUUAGAUACCCCCGUAGUCC